RNAcentral lists this long non-coding RNA (29296 nucleotides) under Gossypium barbadense (sea-island cotton). Its description in RNAcentral is "long non-coding RNA (GBAR_LNC010211)". The record is from RNAcentral. Lineage: Eukaryota; Viridiplantae; Streptophyta; Magnoliopsida; Malvales; Malvaceae.
CUCUAUAGACCUUUAACACUUUGAUCUUACGUUCUAUGGCUCAUUGAAUUCCCAUGAUACAUGUUUCAUAUUUGGCCAUAUUGUUUGUGCAAUCAAAACCUAAUUUACUAGUGAAGAGAUAAUGAUCUAAGUUUGGAGAUAUCAAAAUCGCUCUAAUUCUAUUACCCGCAGUGUUUGAAGCUCUGUCGAAGUAUAGUUUCUAAUGAUGACCUUCUUGAGAGUCUUUUACUUUGGUUGCAACAUACAUUAGACCUUCAUUUGAGAAAUCAAAGUUCAAAAGCUCGUAAUACUCUAGAGCUCUACUGGCCAGAAAAUCUGCUAUUGCACUCCCUUUUACAACUUUCUGAUUCACAUAAGCUAUAUCAAAUUCGGAAAGUAAAAUUUUCCAUCAGGUUAUCUUUCCAUUCAAAGCAGUCGACUCCAUCAUGUACUUUAGAGGGUCUAGUUUCGAGAUGAGCCAAGUUGUGUGGUACAACAUGUACUGUCUCAAUCUUCGAGUUACCUAGAUUAUGGCGUAACACAACUUCUCAAUUGGUGAGUAUCUCAUCUCACACUCAAUGAACUUCUUACUGAGGUAGUAUAUUGCCCUUUCAUUCCUUCUUGACUCAUCGUGUUGGCCAAGCACACAUCCCAUAAAAUUUUCAAAUACUGCCAAAUACAGUAUUACUGGCUUAUCCAAAUUAAGAGGCGUCAGCACUGGGGCAUUGGACAAGUAUUGUUUAACCUUGUCAAAAGUUUUCUAGCAUUCGGUAUCUCAUACACUUGGAUUGUGUUUCUUGAGAAGACGGAAUAUAGGGUCACAUUUUUCAGUUAGUUGUGAAAUGAACCGGGUAAUGUAAUUUAACCUCCCUAAGAAACCUCGAACUUCUCUUUGAGUACGCGGUGGAGGUAGCUUCUAUAUAGCCUUGACUUUAUCCGGGUCAAUCUCAAUCCUCUUUUUGCUGACUACGAAUCCUAGCAGUUUUCAGACUAGCCCCGAAGGUACAUUUUGCUGUAUUGAGUUUUAGCGGGAAUUUCCUCAACCUCAAGAAUAAUUUCUUCAAGACUUGCACAUGCUCCUAUUCUGUUCGGGAUUUGGCGUUCAUAUCGUCGACAUAAACUUCAAUUUUUUUGUGCAUCAUAUCAUGGAACAGGGUUACCAUGGCUUUCUGAUAUGUCACUCCCGCGUUUUUUAGUCCAAAUGGCAUCACUUUAUAGUAAAACGUCCCCUACAUGGUUACAUGUAACGCCCCGUACCCGAGACCGUUUCCGGAGUCGAACACGAGGUGUUAACGGACUUAAUUCAUUAAUUAAACAGCUCAUACAAUUCAUUUUAAAAUUUCCAGACAAGCUGGCUAACUGCAUCACAGUCUCUUUAAAAAUCAUAUCUCGAGUUACGAAACUCGAAAUCCAAUUCCGUAAAUUUUUCCUCAAACUAGACUCAUAUAUCUAUCUACUAAUUUUUUUCUAGAAUUUUUGGUUGGGCCAAUUAGUACAGUUUAUUAGUUAAAGUCUCCCCUAUUUCAGGGUUCGACUACUCUGACCUCUGUGUAUUACGAAUCAGAUAUCUCCCUGUACAGAGCUUCAAUGACUAUGCCGUUUGUUUCUAAUAAAACUAGACUCAAUAAGGAAUCUUUACAUAUAAAGAAUUACUUCUAAUUGCCUUUGUAAAAUUUAUGGUGAAUUUCCAAAGUCAGAACAGGGGAUCCAAAAAUCACUCUAGCCCUAUUUCACAAAAAUUUAAACAUCUCAUAAAAUAUAACUCAUAUACCUGUUUUGUUCCAUUCAUAUGAAAAUAGACUCAUAAUUAUUUAAUUCCAUAUUUUAUUCAUCAUCUAAUUAUAUCUCUACUAUUUUAAAUGAUUUUUCAAACUCACGUCACUGCUGCUGUCUUAAUCUAUUUUAUGGUAAAUUUUACCUAUUUCAUGGUUUCCAUGGAUUAGCUAGUAAUUUGACAUACAUAACACCAAAUAUGAUCAUGAUUAGCCAUUCCAAUGGCUAAUCAUUACCAAGCAUUUCCAUACCACUCAAUAACCAUAUCAUAAGACCAUAUAUACAAAAUGAUUAUAAUGCUAUACAUGCCAUACUCAAAAUAUACAAGCCAUUAUGCCAAGAUGGUAUACGGAUAGUGUGAGCGAGCCUCCGACCGUUCCCGAUUUUCGAGCUGGCUUGUCAAAACUACAAGGAAUGAAAAGGAGGGAGUAAGCAUAAAUGCUUAAUAAGUUCACAUGCAAAUAGCAAGUAACAUAACCAUAUAAGCAAACAUAAAACAUCAUUUGCAUAAUCAUCACCAAGACAUUCAUAUCACAUUUUCAUUUAUCAUCUUACCAUAUUGUUGUUAUAUCAAUUUUUCAACCCGAGGGUUAAGUACAUACCUGUUCAAAGUACCCAUUUCACAACACUUACCAAUACGUCCCUUUCAUCUUGAGUAUUCCUCCAUUUCAGUAGAACUUUACCCGUUGAACACAUCGGAAUAUAAUUCGGAUACAUGGAAAGUUUGUACAUAAGUGCCACAUAUGUAGCCAAGCUACCAUGUAACCCGCCCAUAAGUGAACUCGGACUCAACUCAACGAGCUCGGGCGUUCGCAUCCAUGAGUGAACUCGGACUCAACUCAACGAGUUCGGAUGCCUAGUUACAUCUCACGAACUCGGACUCAACUCAACGAGUUCGGACAUUUGCAUCCAUAAGUGAACUCGGACUCAACUCAACGAGUUCGGAUGCCUAGUUACAUCUCACGAACUCGGACUCAACUCAACGAGUUCGGACAUUUGCAUCCAUAAGUGAACUCGGACUCAACUCAACGAGUUCGGAUGCCCAAAUAUCCCAGUGACAUGUCACUCGUAUCCUAAUCCAUUCCUCAGGCUCAACGGGACAUUUUUCCCAAUCAUAUGUCUCAGCCAUCUUCUAUGGAAUGUCGAUACCGAUACUCGGUAGUAUUUCACAUUUUCCAAGUAUAUCACAUAAUUUGACAUAUUAUCAAACAAUUGUCACAAGUAUGAUAUUUCAUAAUAAUUAUCAUAUCAUUUAAAUAACAUUAAAACAUUUAAAACAAUAACUAUGUUACCAACAUUUACAUAUGAACUUACCUCGUAUGUGAAAAUGGCUACUUUUACCAUUUCAUCCACCACUUGGUAUUUUCCCCAUUUUAGCCUGAAUUUCAGUUUUCCUUACUCUAUCAUUUAAAAUAUAGUCUAAUUAGGACUCACAUUAUUCAAAUUGACCCAAAAUCAUAUUUUGGAAAAAUUACAAUUUUGCCCCUAAACUUUUGCAUAUUUACACUUUUGCCCCAAAGCUCGUAAAUUAAACUUCAGCCUAUUUUCUUAUGUUUUAUGACAUUCUGAUCAUUUUUCCCUUCUAUGGCAACAUCAAAUUCUCACUCUAACAUGUACUUAUGACUAUUAGGUAUUUUUACCGAUUAAGCCAUUUUGCUCGUUUUCACUUAAAACCGAGUAGCACAAGUUGUCUAACAUAAUUUAAAACCUCAUAUUCUAUCAUAAAACACCAAAAUACACAAAUUUCACCUAUGGGUAUUUUUCCAAAUAUAAACCCUAGGUUAAAUUAUUGCUAGCAUAAGCUAAAUCGAGCUACCGGGACUCCAAAAACGUAAAAAUCAUUAAAAACGAGGCUAGAACGGACUUACAAUCGAGCUUGGAAGCUUGAAAAACCCUAGCCAUGGUUUCUCCUUGCUAUAUUCGGCCAUGGGGUUGAAGAUGAGCAAAAUUGGCUUUUAAUUUUGUAUUUUAAUUCAUUUUACCCCUAAAUGACCAAAAUGCCCUUACUACUAAACUUUCCAAAAAUUCCAUCCAUGUCCAAUUUUUGUCCAUAGACUUAGAAAUUGGUAAAAUUCUAUUUAAGACCUCCUAAUUAAUAUUUCAAAACAAUUUCAUACUAGAAACUUCUAGAAUGCAAGUUUUGCAAAUUAUUCGAUUUAGUCCCUAAUUUCAAUUUAAGCACUUUAUGCAUAAAAUUUCUUCACGAAAUUUUCACACAAUCAUGAAAUCAUAUCAUAGACCUCAAAAUAAUCAUAAAAUAAUUAUUUCUAUCUCGAAUUUUGUGGUCACGAAACCACUAUUCCGACUAGGCCCAAAAUUAGGAUAUUACAACUCUCCCCCCUUUAGGGAUUUUCGUCCCCGAAAAUCUUACCAGAAAAGUGGUCUUCACUUUUAAUCUCAUAUUCGGUGCCGAAGAACUUUCACUUAGGCUGUACCUCCAAUACAUCUCUUUAAUUUCUCAUAUGAUCUGAAAGCUUACAGUCUCAACUCUCAACUGUUCUUAAAUUUUCAACCCUUCUCAGUUUCCCAUGAUAUCAUGACAUAAAAUCCGGAUCUUAACUUGAUUAAUGGAGACCGGAAUUCCAAGAAAUCCAACAAUCAAAGAGACCUGAAAUUCCAUGAAUCUGAUAAGUAGGAAUUCAUUCAAUAUAGAUAAGAUUUAUAGAUCUCGCCAAACAUUUAACAAUAGGAUACAUCACAUUUUCCUCUUUCCGCUAUGGAAAUAAUUCUGAUAUGGCCUCAAGAAUAAUCCUUCUCAUUUCCAUCCCAAUAUCAACACUGACAAGGAUAAUUUUGAUAGAUCCCAAUGCUCGGCUUUAACCCCUUUAACAACUCCGAUUUUAUGUAACAUCGAAUGCUCUAAACUAUCACAUUACCUCACUGUCUUGAAACACAUCACAAUUCAUAUAACAGUACAUUACUGAAAGUCAGGAAGUCUUUACUCAAUGUAGACUAGUCUAGUUCAGAAGCUUCGAUUACCAAUAUUCUCAUCUAUCCAAACUUUGUCAACAUGUAAUAAACUUUUCAGCUUUCACAAGACGAAAACCUUAUCAUUCGUAGUGACUUUAACUAAUAUCUAACUCUUUCUAAUAAAUAUACACUUCUCUUUUAGACUAUUUACUCUUUUAUCAGUACAAAAAUGAAAUUAUAUUAUCAGACUUGAGAAAAAUAAUCCUGACAUAAUUGUCACAUGAAAGCUUUCAAAUAAAUAAUUCACCAUACCGACUGAAACUCGCGCUUUUAUCACUUAUGCCUUUACUGAUGUCAAAUCCUUACACAGAAAUUAGAAAAAAUCCCAAUACUAAAAUCACCACAUUACCAAGAUCAAAUUAGAAGUAUAGUCAUAUUUGACAUGAUUAUCACGAGCUGAAGAACGUACUUCGAACAUGAGUCAUAAUUGACAAAUUAUGGAACAAAGAUAACAAGGAAACCGAAUAAAGAAAUCCAAGAUAUGAUACUAUGCCGGAGAAUCGAAAACCAAACUCAUAGAGAAAAUACAGAAUACCCUGAUAAUUCUUCAAAGAAAGAAAGUCCAAAAGAAAACAUCAUUUAAUCCCACUGAAAUCAAAUAUAACAAGAUCAAUAUAUCUUCCCAUACAUAUAUCAGAUGAAGCAUCAAGUAGAAGAAACAGAAUCAUAAUAUCAUACGUAUUCUCUCAUCAAUUCUUAUCAGACGAAAUGAAAUAGAAUAUCCGAUGAAAUAGAGCAAUAUAAAUUAUAAACCAGUCAGACUACCAAUGCUUUCAUCCAACACCAGAAUUAGAAGACAUUCCCAUAUAACAAGAAUUUCUUCAGAAGAUCAAUAGCCAUAGAAAUAUUUCUGAGAACGGGUGAACACAUAGAACAUCUCAAAAGAGACUGCUAAAUCUGUCCGGUCAUCACUGUCACACUCAGAUAGUUCACAUUUCAAUUAUCAUUUCCCCAACUAGUUCUGCCGUCACAAAUUUCAUAUUAAACCAUUCACUAAAGAAGGCCAGUUCUGAAUAAAUUUCGAUUUACACUUUUCUCGACCUUGCACCUGAGUAAUUCGGUUUACCAAGGAGAAUUCCGUUUCUAACUGGGACAGUGCAUAACUCCAAUAAUUUUUACGUCAAUUCGAUACUUUACUGGCUCUGGCUUUACUUAUCAGCUCAUUUUCAAUCUCUAAUCAUACUUAUAAUUAUUCUAUCACUGUACUCUUUGGGUUCUCAACUGGAAACUUAUUCAAUACAAAUCUCAUGAAAUUCCAUUAUAAGUACCACUUCGGUAAGGGGGAGGGGUUGUAGGACCUCAGACUCAACUUUUUUAUACAUACACAUAUGACACAACUUCCAUCAUCAUAGUAACAUCAUCAAAAUCAUGUCAUUCAUUCAUGUUGGCUUACACCAAUUUUCCUAUUGUCCCAUUUAGACUAUAUACUUAUGCAUACAUUCUAUGUUUUCUAGAUAGUUUUACUUAUCCAUUCAUUUAAUUAAAUUAAUUCAUGCUCAUGACAUCAUAUAAGGCCAAACAAACAUAGAUAUUAGCAUCACAAUCACAACUUUCAUUUCGUGCAUCAUCAUGUACAUAUCAUUACAAUCAAGUAAUUCAGUCCAACAAUUUAACAUAGAUAAGUUCAUUUCAUUAUAAUCCUUUAUCUCAUAAAAAUUAUAUAUCAUUAGCAUUCAUCAACAUUCAACGUCCAAUCAAGACAAGGACAUUUUCAUUCGUAUCAUGAUAUUAUGACCUUUAUUCAUACCUCUACUACUUUCUAUUUAUUCCAUUCAUCUUAUCAAGUAAGCCACAUACACUACAUCAUAUGAGCAUUAAGCAAAUAUGAAUAUUUAUCACAUAUGUAUCAUAAACCUUUAUUCAUACUUUUCUGAACCGAGACUUAUCAUAAUCAUAGUUUUACUCAAAUACCUUCACAUAACAUUGAACAUGGUCGGCGCAGCUCGGUUGGAGAGUACCCUGUCUAAAUAAGAGGGUACUCAUACGUGUCGGAAGGCAUCACACUAUCACAGAUCAGUGGCAUGUAUAGCUAAACUUUUACACAUGCUAGGUUAGUCCGAGAACCGAAUAAACCUACUCUGAUACCACCAAAUGUAACGCCCCGUACCCGAGACCGUUUCCGGAGUCAAACACGAGGUGUUAACGGACUUAAUUCAUUAAUUAAACAGCUCAUACAAUUCAUUUUAAAAUUUCCAGACAAGCUGGCUAACUGCAUCACAGUCUCUUUAAAAAUCAUAUCUCGAGUUACGAAACUCGAAAUCCAAUUCCGUAAAUUUUUCCUCAAACUAGACUCAUAUAUCUAUCUACUAAUUUUUUUCUAGAAUUUUUGGUUGGGCCAAUUAGUACAGUUUAUUAGUUAAAGUCUCCCCUAUUUCAGGGUUCGACUACUCUGACCUCUGUGUAUUACGAAUCAGAUAUCUCCCUGUACAGAGCUUCAAUGACUAUGCCGUUUGUUUCUAAUAAAACUAGACUCAAUAAGGAAUCUUUACAAAAAUAAAGCAUGACUUCUAAUUACCUUUGUAAAAUUUAUGGUGAAUUUCCAAAGUCAGAACAGGGGAUCCAAAAAUCGCUCUAGCCCUGUUUCACAAAAAUUUAAACAUCUCAUAAAAUAUAACUCAUAUACCUAUUUUGUUCCAUUCAUAUGAAAAUAGACUCAUAAUUCUUUAAUUUCAUAUUUUAUUCAUCAUCUAAUUAUAUCUCUACUAUUUUAAAUGAUUUUUCAAACUCACGUCACUGCUGCUGUCUUAAUCUAUUUUAUGGUAAAUUUUACCUAUUUCAUGGUUUCCAUGGAUUAGCUAAUAAUUUGACAUACAUAACACCAAAUAUGAUCAUGAUUAGCCAUUCCAAUGGCUAAUCAUUACCAAGCAUUUCCAUACCACUCAAUAACCAUAUCAUAAGACCAUAUAUACAAAAUGAUUAUAAUGCUAUACAUGCCAUACUCAAAAUAUACAAGCCAUUAUGCCAAGAUGGUAUACGGAUAGUGUGAGCGAGCCUCCGACCGUUCCCGAUUUUCGAGCUGGCUUGUCAAAACUACAAGGAAUGAAAAGGAGGGAGUAAGAAUAAAUGCUUAAUAAGUUCACAUGCAAAUAGCAAGUAACAUAACCAUAUAAGCAAACAUAAAACAUCAUUUGCAUAAUCAUCACCAAGACAUUCAUAUCACAUUUUCAUUUAUCAUCAUAAAAUAAUUAUUUCUAUCUCGAAUUUUGUGGUCACGAAACCACUAUUCCGACUAGGCCCAAAAUUAGGAUAUUACAUUACAAGUAUGGUCUUAUCCAUGUAUUUAGGAUGCAUCUUUAUCUGGUUGUAUCCUAAGAAGCCAUCCCUGAAGAAGAAUAAUGAGUAACCUACCGUGUUGUCCGCUAAGGUGUCGAUAUGGGGCAAUGGAAAAUUAUCUUUCGAGUUGGCUUUGUUCAGGUCUACUUUUCUAUCUUUUUUAGGGACGGGGACGAUAUUAGCUACCCAUUCUGAGUAUUUGACUACUUGUAAGAAACCAGCAUCGAAUUGCUUCUUCACAUCUUUUAUUUUUAGCAAAACAUCGGGCCUCAUCCUUCGGAGCUUCUGUUGAACUGGCUUGCACUCUUCCUUUAUGGCGAGUUGGUGUACCAUGAUAUCAGUACUUGGUCUAGGUAUAUCUUAAUACAACCAUGAGAAAACAUCUUUGAAUUCUUGGAGUAACUCAAUGAGGUAUCGUUUUGUCUCUACGGUAAUGCAAGCUUCAAUUUUCACUUCAUUUUCUUCUUCCAAGACCACAAUCUCUACUGACUCUUUGUGAGGUAGAAUUUGUUUCUCCUCUUGUUCUACCAUCAUUAACAAAUCAGGAGAUAGGUUACAGUUUCUGUUAUCUUUAAAGUCCUAAGGUUCCUCUAAACACAUAUCUAGUUCAAAUAGAGAUUCUGGAUUAGUAGCAGCGUCACUUAUAUCAUUGAUAUCUAGAGACCUGCUAUAGAAAUGAAGGAAUACCCACAGAACAAAUAAAUUUAGGAAUAAUUAUUUAUGGGGUAUAAGUAUGAAUGAAAUGAAAGAAUAGAAAAAUAUUUGCUCGGAAUAAGACAAAAAGAUGUAUUUUUUUUUAAAAUAAAGAUGUUAGAAAAAAGCCUAUUUCACAAAAAGACUCUUAUUGCUCUUAGGCUUAGAGAAAUAAGCGUGUGUUCUGAACAUUACUCUGAAUUAGCUCGAAAAACUACAGGAAUCUCUUCCGCAGUCUAGUUGUUCAGAACACUUCCAAGUACAUAUAGACAGAUGCCUGAUAAAUUUCCUCCUCCAAUUCUUUCUUCGGAUAUGGUGUUGAGUUCAAAUUUACUGUUAUUUCUUCAGCGAUUUCUUUUCUUGUUAUCUUCCGUUUAGUGUGAAUAGUUCCUCCUAACACAAAUGUUUUGGAUAUAUGGGAAAAAGUCAUCAGUUCCCAUUUGACUUCUUCCUCGCUUAAUCGUGCUCUUCUUCUUUCCUGCUUCUUCUCCAACUCUUUCUUCUUUUGCUUCGCAUCUAGCUUAUAUCCUAAGCCAAAGCAAUCUCAUUUAUCUAUCAGAAUUGGUACCUCGACUCUCCAUUGGAGAUAUUUUUCGAGUUCUUGCAAGGCUCCCUUUUCGACCGUCAGUCGUAGGCCCAUCUUUAUAGUUCUGGAUAUUCUAAGUAUAGGGAUCUUGUUCCCUUCGACGAUGAAGAUUGCAUUUACAAAUUCCAGCGAUUGAAAAGAACAUUCUAUCAUUUCAUUAUCUGCCCCUAUGUAUGACUUGUCACUGGUUACGGAUGCAAUAAUAUCUUCUUCCGCGUUUAUCAUUACUAGUCGACUCUCAGUUAUCAACUUUAGCUUUUAGUGCAGUGAUGAUGGCACUACCCCAGCUGAGUAAAUCCAAGGCCUUCCCAGUAAGCAAUUAUAAGAAGGCUUGAUGUCCAUCACCAGGAAAUCUACUUUAUACGUGUUUAGACAAAUCAAAAGAGGUAUCUCAAUCCUUCCCAUCACCUUUCUUUUGGUACCAUCAAAUGCUCUCACUAUGUUCUGACACGUCUUCAUAUGAAAGCUAUCCACUGAUAAUCUGUUUAGUGUGGAUAAGGGCAAGACAUUCAGUACUGAUCCAUUAUCAAUUAACACCUCUAGCAAUGUAUACCCUUUUACAGCGGGUAAUGAUGUGCAAAGCCUUCGUCGAUCCCAUACCCCCUAGUGGUAUUUCAUCAUCAUUAAAAAAGAUGAAAUUAUCGGCGCUUAUGUUACUGACCAGACAGUCUAGCUUGUUGACGGAGAUAUCAUUAGCGACAUAAGUUUCAUUUCAUAUUUUUAUCAACGCGCUAUGAUGUACCUCCCAGCUUAAGAGUAAAGCUAGCACUGAUAUGCGAGCUGGUUGUUUAUGCAGUUACUCUACAAUGCUAUACUCGCUAUGCUUUAAGAAUUUCAAAAACUCUUUAGCAUCCUCUCAGUUGUUGGCUCGUUAACAGGCGAUUCAAGUCUAGUCGACUUUUCCAUCUUUUGUUCAACUGCCAAGGCUUUUCCUUUUACGGGCUCUGCUUUUGCAUUUGAUAGGUCGUAGCGCCACCCACUGUGCAUGUAGAAACCCACAUCUUGACCCUCUUCUAGAGCACUAAUUGAGUUUUCUUUUCCUGGAAUCGUCAUGUUGCAGUUAUAAUUCUAGGAAACCUUUUUACUUUCUUUAUAAGGGAAAGCUACAGGUUUCUAGAUUAUGACCCUUGGUGCAAUUUAUGCUCUAGCUUCAUUGAUUCUUGGUCAUGAGAUGAUUACCACAGGGUGAUUGGCCCUAUAAACCUUCUCUGUCAAUUUUUCUUCUAAGGCACAUACAUCUUCUCCUUCUGGGCCUUCGACAUACUCAAAGAAUUCUAACUCUUUAUUGUCCAUCAGACCUUAUACUAGGGCCCUAAAUUUACUACAUCUUUGAAUCUCAUGACUUUCUUCAUCACGGAACUCACAGUAGUUCCUUGCUUCUCGGGAUUUCUCCCUUAAAUCCUGUGUGAUUAAUCCACUUUCUACCAUUUUCUUCCCAACCCUUCUCAGUAGAGUUUUCACUUCUGCUAUAUUCGUCUUGAUUCUUUUUCCCGCAUUCUCGAUUAUCGCUUUUACCUCUUUGUCAGAAUGGUUGGGUAACGGAUUCUCUGUACCAAAUGGAUCAUCAAAUCUCACAAUGCCGAUUUUGAUGAGUCUUUCAAUUAGCUUUUUGAAAGCAGUGCAGUUCUCGAUCAAGUGUCCCGUGAUUCCCUCGUGGUAUUCGCAUUAGGCGUUCGUGUCAUACCAUUUGGGGAAUGGAGGUUGCAUAGGUUUUAAGUAGAAAAGGGAUAAUAUAUGUGCAUCAAACAAAUUCUUGUACAACUCCUUAUAUGUCAUCAGGAUGGGCGUAAACUGGAGUUUCUCCGUAUUUUACCUUGUGUUGGAUUCUUGCCUCACGCCUUGCUGGCUAGUAGCCGCUGCCCUUGGCUGGCUUAUAGUAAUUGGCUUUGAAUAGCCAUUUUUAUACACACUCGCAUUUUUUUUCUCGGGGCCGUUCUCUUGGUAUUUUCCCCGGCUUCUAUUUUUCCACACCUUAUUGCAUUUUCCAUCAUCUCACCGGAUAUUACUAUGUCUGAGAAACUCUUAGGUGUACUUCCCAGUAUGUGAUUAAUGAAUGGAGCCUUCAAGGUAUUAAUGAAGAGCAUUAUCAUUUCCUUUUCUAGCAGAGGUAGUUGGACUUGCGUGGCGACUUCCCUCCACCUUUGAGCAUAUUGCCUGAAGCUCUCGCUUGGCUUUUUCUCCAUGUUUUGUACUGUGAUUCUGUCGGGUGACAUAUCGGUUACGUGGCUAUAUUGUUUCAUGAAGGCCUGUGCCAGGUCAUUCCAUAAAUUAAUUUGGGCACGACUUAGCUGAUUAUACCAUUUGGCCGCAGCCCCGAUCAGGCUGUCUUGGAAACAGUAAAUUAAUAACUGAUCAUUAUUAACAUAUCUUGUCAUCCUCUGACAAAACAUCAUAAUGUGAGUUUCAAGGCAGCUGAUCCCAUUAUAUUUCUCAAACUCCAGGUUCUUAAACUUGGGCAGGAGCACUAGAUCUGGAACCAGGCUCAAGUCUUUAGCAUCAAUUCCAUAAUGGUAAUCAGCGCUUUUUAAUGCCUUAAAUUUCUCUUCUACCCAUCUACAUCGGUCUUCAAGUUGCUUUGGGAGCUCUACUCUCGCCUUUUCUAUUUCUGCUACAUCAUCAAGACUAGUGACAAAGGGAUUUACUGGAUUGUCUCCUGGGUUGGAGCUUGAACCUAUCGGGAAGCUUGUUGGUGCCAAGGUACCUAUAUGAUAUUGGGGUCUGAUGUUAAUGGACACCCUUUGUGGAUAUGCGUUUGGUUGUGCUUGGGUGUUUGUUGGGGUAAAGCUUGGAAGAUAAGUAGGGUCCUCGUUAUCGUCCCUGGAAUUGACCAUAAGGCUCUUUCCUUUUUCUAGCCCUCCAGCCAACAACUGGGUUAAUUGGCUCAUCAUAUUCUUUUGGGAUUCUAGCAUCUGAUCCCUCACGUCUUGUUGAAUUUUGUCCAAUUGUUCUUACAUCUGUAUUUACAGCUGAUCUUGUAUUUCUUUUUGUAUUUGCUCUAAUCUUUCCAAUCUUUGGUUCAUUGCUUUAGUUUUUCCUUGUGUACCGUAACAAUAUUCCAGGGUAACUACCAUGAUUUUAGGGUCUCUUUGUAAGAUUUAAUGCACAUGAUGCAAUGUAAUGCUAAUGCAUGAAAUGCAUGCAAAAAAUGCACUGGUUCUGAUUCAAUUUCAUUAGAGUAACUUUUCUAGAAAACAAAUUUUGUCACAUAAAACGGAUUAUAUAUAAGGCCUCGCCCUAAUACUUAAGGCAUUGAUCUUCCUAAGAAGCCAAGCUAACUCUCAGCCUCGAUCUGACUCUGACUCGUAUUUCAAGCUCAGUACAUCAGCCUAGACUGCUUAGGUUCGUAAAUGAUCAGCCACCUCUCGUACUUGAGUCAAAGCUGACAUAAUCUCUAUCCCUAACCUGAUCUUGAGAUCGGUGAAGCUGCUCUUGCCACUGCUCAUUAUUUUCCUCCAAGAGUUCAACUCGAAGUUCACAAUUUUGUAGCGCGGUUUCGAAUUCUUCUAUCUUUCCUUUUAGCUCUUUGAUUUUACUCCGGCUAGCUUUCAACUCGAUUACAGAGUUCCAACUACGAUACUGAUGUAAGGAUUUUUCUAACUCUGACACCCGAGUUUUUAACCCCACCUUCUUAUUUUAACUUUCUACUAAACUCCUUUGCAGAACAUUUUCUCGUGCUUGAGCAUCUCAGAAUUUCCUUUCCCAUUGACUGACUCUACUCUUUUCCUCUUUAAUUUCUUGCCGCCAUUGUUCUGACGUUUUUCUCAGACCGGCAGUUCUUAUUGACAAUCGUAACUUUUUGUAGUCCGUUUUCAAACUGUCCAAAUCUUAUUCAGCUUUAUUCUUCUCCUUUUUAAGCUUCUCGGCUUCUAGUUUCUAGACGUUGACAUCCAGUCCCAGCUGUAUUUUCUCCUCCUUUAAUUGCUCUAUCCUUUUUUCUAGUUCCAACCUCUUUCUAACAAAAUCUUGUUUAAUGAUCUUUAGCUCAGACGGGAUCACCUACAAGUGUUUUUCUAUUAAACGAGUGUUUUCUUGGUCUGACGUAGAGAUGUUGUCGUUGAUUCUCUAACCCCACCAUUGGUCAUACUUAAGGGUAGUCAUCGGGUUGGCUACAAACCUUUUCAUUCUGCGAGUUUGAUUCCAAGCUUUCGAUAUUUCACGAACUUUCUUUUUGUAGUUAUCUACUUUGUAUACAAACUCACACUGAACUAACCCUUGUGUUGCUGGCGUAAACUGUCUUGAUCUAUAUUGCCUUAACGCGAGCAGAGGGGCAUACCCGACAGCCUCCCAUAUUCCAAGUAAGGAAACCCAAUCAAAAUCACCACACCGAUAUAGAAUCUCGUCAGGGAACAUCUAAGGGACUCUCUAUUCAACGUCUUCGUCUUGCAGAUUUUGGAGAAUCCUCAUCCAUUUCUCUUUCAUAAUAUCAUCUCGUCUUGGUGUACCCACUAACUUUUUCAGUGGAAAAUAGUCUUCGGAGAAGAUUCGAUAUGAGACCCUUUCCACUUUCUAAAAAUAGCUGUGGAACCAUGCUAGUAAGAGUUGUGCGCAUCCGAUGAAUCUCCCUUCGCCCGCUCUUCGGUAUGCAUUCAAGGAUCUAAAAGUUUUGGCCAAAAUUGCGAGAAUGAAUGUGGCUUUUUUAUCAAGUCAAUCAAAUAAAUCGGAGACCGCCUUGUCUAUAUGCCCCAAAACCUUAGGAAAGAUAACCAAUCUGUAAAUGCUUAACGUGAAUACGUCAACCCUUUUCUUCAUAUCAGGAUGUGCUAGGAUCAGAUCUCUCAAAUUUCUCCAAGGAAUGCACUUAAUAUCACUUUUCUACUUGAUUUGGGCUACAACCCACUGUUCGCCCAUUCCCGUGUGUUCAUCAGCUUUUUUAAUAACGUUGGGACGUUGGUAGCUCAAGAAUAAGUCUUAUCAAUUUGAAUAUUAGGGCAACGGAGUAAGGUCGUGUAUUCUUCUACAGUAGGUACCAAAUCUACCUUUCCAAAAGUAAAACAACUAUAAGCAAGGUUCCAAUACUAGGCGAAAGCUCAGAAUAAGUGCUUUCCCACUUUAAUAUCGAGUAGAUAGGGCAAAUCACCAUAAUUAUAGUAGAAUUGUUACUUGAUCUCGCUAUCCCAUUGAUCUCAUAUUUCUUUCAUAUCUUGAAGAUUAUUUUGGGUUACGCUGAUACGAGUAAAAUCCCACAACUUUGACACGUACCCCCUCACCCUUCUCUUGCUGCGUUAUCUCGGCCCAUAUCCGGACGGCCGCAUUAUUCUUCACUUUAUCAAGAAACCCUUUUUUCCAUGACAAGUUAUCUAUUUAGCAACAGAAUGUGAAUCAACACUUUUUGUGAUAAAAAUGUCAUGCAAUUAUAAUAAAAGUAAAACAAAACAAGUCAAUACUUCAUACACAGUUUAAAGCAAACGAAGAAUAAUAAGUAAAGCACCUACUCGGGUAACUACUAGGGUUUCAGCACGGUUUUACCUAGGGUGGGCUCUUAGAGCUCACUAUAUGCGGUUCGGUUCUAAAGCAAAGGUACCUGAACAGGCAGAUUCCUCGAUCCUCACCCAUUAUAGGCUCAUAUGAACCGAGUUCGAUUCAAGGGAAUACAUUUCCCUAUGGCUAUACGAAGAUGAAAUCUUACGAAGACAUAGGUACGGAUGUAUCCCGAAAGCAAUCCACUAUCCUAUACGAAGGUGAAGCCUCACGAAGAAAUAGUUUCUCACUCCCACUUAAAAGGGUAAAAUCGACCGAUUAUGCGAUGCAAUAUGCAGAGAUAUAUUAAAAACUCGAACCAAUUAAAGCAAACAUAUCAAAAUGAUGCAGACCAUAAAAAUGAAAUGCGACGAAAGGAUCGUAAGUUUAAAUUGAAUUAUCAAUUUUCGAAAAAAAGACAAGAAAUACUCAACUCGUGGCUUGACUCUCUUAUUUUGUCCCCAAUGGAAUCGCCAAGCUGUCUAAAUCAUUUUUUUUGAAAAGGGGUUGACUUUUUAUUUUGAAAACGAAAAUGAAAAAUGAGAGUCACCACUAAUCAUUUUUUAUGAGGUGUGAUCGGAUCACCUCGUAAUUUGAUCCUUUUAAUAAGAAGUUUGAUUUAUUAAAAUGAUGAUUUUGGUCUACGAAAUUCAGAAAAAUGGGUUCGGGAGCUGGUUACGCACGAGGAAGGAUUAGCACCCUUGUAACGCCCAAAAUUGGUACCUAGUUGAUUAAUUAAUGUCUUAGUAUCGAGAAUUGAGAAUUUGAAAAGAUUUUAAAAAUAUGAUCAUUUGUUAAAAUAUUAUUUAAUUGAAAAUUUUUUGAGAAAAUGACAUAUUUUACGUUAAUCGAGAAAAAGAAUUACGUCCUGUAAGUUAGGACACAAUAUUUUAAAUUCUCGAUACGCGAAUAAAUGAUAAAAAUUUAUUUUAAAAUACAUUCGACUAUCUCGGUUCUAGAAAAAAAUCAUAUUCCGUGAGUUAGAACACGACCUUCUCUUAAUUCCUGAGAUUAUGAAAAAAAAUAAAAAAAUGUUCGUUUAUUUGGAUUUAUCGAGAAAAUCGAAACCCUGUAAGUUAGGGAACGACUUUUUGAAUCUCAAAAUACGAAAUGUUGCUUAUUUUAAAAAAAAUUAUGCAUCGGGUAAAGAUUAAUGUAACACAAAUUUGUAAUAAAAAUGUAAAAAUAAAUCACGGUACUAAUAUGCAUAACAAAAUAAUAAUAAAUGCGUUAAUAUGAAUGACAAUAAUAAGGACGAAUUUUUUUUUAAAAAAAAAAGCUAAUUAUAAAAGAAAAUUAAUAAGUAAAAACUAAAUAAAUAAAUAAUAAUAGUAAUGAAACCUAAUAGUAAACAAAUAAAUAAAUAAAUAUUAUAUAAAACAGUUUAAAAAUAAUAAUAAUAAUGAUAAUAUAUUAAUAAUAAUGAUAGUAACUAAUAGAAUACCCAAAGUUUGAAAUUAUAUAAAAGGAUAUAAAUAAAUAAUAAAAUGAAUAAAAUAAAAUAAAUGUAUUUAAAAAAAUAAUAAGUAAAUAAAUAAAUAAAAGAAAUAUAAUAGUAAUAGUAAUAAUAAUGCUAAAUUAAUUAAUUUAAUAAUAAAAUGACCAAAAAUAACAAAAAAAAACUAAUUUGAACUUUAAAACAGAAAUUUGGGGCAAAUCAGAAAUAAAUAAAAAGGAAAAGGACCAAUUUGACUUGCGAAUAACAAUGAGGGACCAAAAUGGGAAAUAAUCCUUACCCUCCAAAACGUGCAGCUUCAAGGUGGACUAAUUUGUAAAUCGAAAUAAAGUAUAGGGCAAAAAUUAAAAAUAAAAAGAACUUAAUUGCAAAAACAUUAAAAAGCUAAAGGGCUAAAAGUGUAAUUAGCCCAAAAAAAACAUGCGGAUCCUCCCUGGCGGGUCGGGUCAACACACGGAUCUUAAGGGCAAAACGACGCCGUUUUAGGCGUUUAAGGCCAGUCCUAAAACGAUGUCGUUUUGGAGGCUUACAAAAGUCAAUUUUUUUAACAAAAAAACUUUCAUUUUUUACCUUCUUCCAAAAAAAAAACUGAAAAAUGCUCUCUCCUCCCCUCUCUUUUAGCUUCUUGGUUGGCCAGGGGUCCAGCCAUCGACCGCCGUGCCGGUCGCCGACGACGGCGCCGUCGUGUAUAGCGGCCGAAAGGCCAAAAGUUUUUUUUCGACGAUUUAAAAAAGUAAAAUUUUCUCCUUCCCUUUGUAUCAUUAUAUUUUGUAUAUAUAUAUGUAUGAAGGAAAAGAAGGAUUCGACGAAAAAUAAAAUAAAAAGAAAUGAAAGAACAAAAAAAACACCUUAGUAAUCGAUUCGAUUUUGCUUUGUAUUUUUGGCACUUGCUUUCUCUAUUUUUUUUGUUUGGAUUCGAUUUUAUUUUUUUCUUUUUUUGGAUUCAAUCUUGUGUUUUUUUGUAUUCAAAAUCCGUGAAAAAAAUUUACAUUAAGUCCUAUGGCUUUAUAACUAAUUUAAUACAAUAUUAUAUUUUGCUACUGUCUAACAUCUUUUCUGCUGCAGGUGGUGGUUGAGCGGUGGAGCAAAGGCGGUGGCAGGGAUUAGGGCGGUAGCAGUGGCAAGUGGUUGUCAGAAGCUAGGGUUUUUUUGUUUUUUCUGAAAAAGUUUAGGUUUUGGGCUUUGUAUUUUGGGUUAGGGUUUUCUUGAUUUGGGUCUUUUUGUUUGGUAAUUGGGUUGCUACUUUUAUUUGAUAUUUGAGCUUUUGGUUUUUAUAUUUUAUGGGCCUGGGCAAAAUUUAGGUUGUACAGUAAUAUUUUUAUUUUAUUAUUUUAAUUUAUAUAAAUUUAAAUAUUAUAAUAUUUUGUUAUAUUUUAAUAUUUUUAAAAUUAUAAAAAAAAUAAAGAUGUUAAGGGUAAGAUGGUACAUUAAUAAAUUAAACUUAUUUUCUUCUUUUUUAAUAUUAAUCUCAUUAUAGGUUGUUUAUCAUAUAUAUAUUUUUAAUCUUUUUGAUACAAUAUCAAGGAUUACUCAUAACCCCUUCUCAACUCUUGAGGAUAAUGUGCUUUAGCGCAUUCAAGUUCAUGUCCUCCUAUACUUAAGGAUAAGCGUUCGAUCGAAUCAAAACGAAUGAAAAAAAAAUUCGAGUUAAUCAAGUUAAUGAAUUCCAUUUUAUCAUCCCAACUCUAUUUGAAAUUUUCUCAAAUCGAAUCAAGUGAGAUAAAAUUCAAAUCAAAUAUAUUUGUUUGAGUUAAAUUUAAAAAAUAGCUUUAGUUUGUUUCGAAAUCAAUUAGGGAUGAAACGUCUUAAAGUCUUCAAUUAAUUAUUUUAAGCACAAUUUCAAAAUUUAUUAAAAGCAGGAUACAAAUAAAAAGUUGUUAUUCCAACUUAAAUAAUAAGCAAAAAGUAGGGACAUUGAUGCUUAUCAGCGAACUGCAAUAGCAAAAAAAUUAUGGGGUUACCUUUCAUUCUAAAAUUUGAAGAAAAUAUCCACAAGAUCGAGAUUUUCUCGAUUCAACGGCAAUCCUCGAAUUUACAUAAAUUGACUGGCAAAAAUAAUUGAUCGAACUAGUAAAUUAAAAAAUUAUUAAACUUCAAAGUCUUGAUUCUCAUAAUAAAAUAUAAUAAAAACGAAAAAAAAACACAAAAAGAAAUUAAUGCAAUGACCAAAGAAGUCAAUUACUGCUCUUUUUCUACUGAGCAAAUUUGCGAUUUGUUAGUUCGUGAGUGAAAAAGGUAAUAAACCGAACAUGUAGCAAUCCCACAAAUCUAAAAUAAAAGCGAAAGUGUUUCAUAGCCAAAUCUAGAUUGUUGGGUUUGGGGUCGAGGUGAAGAGUGGAGACUGAAGAGAACAGAGCAGCCAAAAGGAACACCAGUUUCGAAGAUCCUAGGGCAAUUUGUUUUGUAGCAGCAGCAACAUCAACAACCUUUGUUACAGCAACAACUUUUACAGCAACAGUAUAAACAACACCUAGUACCCACAGCUAAAGUGACGGGUGAGGGAUUUGCCUAACCUUAGAAACUGAUGAAGAAGAAUUGAAGGAUGGAGGGUUUGAUUUACGGAUUUUGACUCAGGGAUAGGAAAUAGGAAUGAGAUUUUGAUUUGGGGGAAAAUGGUGGGGCAGGUGGGGGAAAGUAAAAAAGGCUUGGAGGGGGAGUAUAAAAUAAUUAUUAAUUAGACUACAUAAUAUAAAUUUAAAAUUUAAAAUUGUAUAGUUUGAUAUUAGGUUUAUUCGAAUUAUUUGAGUUAUUUAAAUUCGAAAAUUCAACUCAAAUCUAACUCAAAAUUUGAAAAAGAAUUGAAGGCAAAUUAAAUUUUGCUCACCCCUACUUGCAAUGACAACAAUAUCAAUAUCACAAUUUUCACGGUAAUCACUUUAAUGUAGUAACAUCUAUCCUUUAUCCAUAAUGAGGAAUAUGACCAUGGUUCGACAUUUUAUUAUUUAAAAUGUUUAUAUAUUUUUUAAUUUAUUUAUUUAUUUAUGUAAAUUUUUAAUAAUCCUUCUAUCAUCCUAGAUAUUUUCAAUUUAUUAGAUUUAUAACUCAGGCACUUACAAAUGAUUUAUUUGAUUUUUAAAUAUUUAGUAUUUAACAUUUCAUAAAAUAAAUAUUGUAUUUUCAUUUUCUUUGAAUGAAAUAAAAACAAAAUAAAAUUACUUAGAAUUUUGAAUUAAAAAGAUGAGUCAAAUUUGCACUCCAAUAAUUUUAUUUUCAAAAUGGCACUGUAUGCUUUCUUAUUUGUUAGUGUAUGUAUUUUCUAUUAAUUUUACUUUUAAAAUCUAAAAAGCUCAAUAAUUAUGGAUGGGUCAUUUAUUUUAUUUUUUUGGUAAAAGAAAAAAAAUUAUAGAUCAAUUACAAAGGAGCAGUAAAGUCAUAAAGCCAAAUUUUGACCAUAAUUUCUAAUUUGAUCAGCAAUUUCUGAAGGUAAUUCCUUCAAAAUAUGGGAACUAAAAGGAAAAUCUUUCAUCAACCUAGCUAGAGUAUGAGUAGCAGUAUUUACCUCUCUCGAAACCUCUUGAAUUUUAACCCUCUAAUCUCUUUUACAAAAUUCUUGAAUUCUCAGAAUCAAUCCCCUAUUUAUUUGUUCUUGGAACCUACCAUUAAAGGCUUCAACAGCUAAAGCAUAAUCUGAUUUAACAAUUAUAUUAUUCCAUUUAACAAAUCAAGCCAAUUGGAGACCAUCAUAAAUCACUCGUAUAUCUGCCAAUAUUUCUUCCAAUCCCAAAAAUCCAUCUGAUCAUCCCUGGGAUGAAAUCAUUUUUAUUCUAUUGAUUUAUGUGUUCUAAAUAACAUAGAGUACUACUCUAUAUAUGAUAGUUGGAAUAUAAAUCAGUAUUGCAUAUAAAGAGAAUUAAGGUUCACAAUAAAAAAAAAUACAUUUAUAAUAUAAUAUGUACAAAUUUAAUUAAUUUAAUAAAAAAUUAAAUAUGUAAUUGAAUCAAAACAAUGAUCCAAACUUGUUUAAAUAAAUAUAAAAGCCAUAAUAAGUGAAAAUUGGUCUUUUGCUAGAAUAAGCAUUAUAUUAUCAACUGAUUUCACUCAUAAAAAAAUCUUAAUAAUUUGUUAAAUUAAGAACAAUAAAAAAAUUAAUUUUUUAAUAUAGCUUGAAAAAUCUUAAAUGGUAAUAUAAUGUAAAAGAAUUGGAUAUUUAUAAUUACACUUGUACAUGUUAUAUUAUAAAAUAAUGUAAAUAAUUGAAUCAAAUAUUUUUAAUUGUAAAUAUUAAUUUAUAUAAAAAUUUAAAGUAUAAAAUAAAAAUUAACUUUAUAAAUUAAAAAUAAUAUUUCUUUUGUAUAAUUACAAGUGUCCUUGUCUGUUUUAUGGUUUGAGUAUGAUCGUAUUUGGUUAAGGGUGAUAUUUAGUUAGAGUUGACUCAAAGAUUUGCACUUGAUCCAAAUACUUUCACUACUUAAUUCUUCUAAAUAUUUGUUGGUAAAUUAACAUUUUAAAUGUACUAGAAAAAGCUUAAAGAAAACAAUUAAUAAAAAUGAAAGUUGACAUUUUGUAAUUUUUAUUCUAAGCAAAAGAAAGAAGAGAUAUUAAUUUAAAAAUUACAUUAAAAAGAAUAAAGUAAAUGAUGAUUUUGACAACAACAAUAUCUUAUUAAUUACAAUGACUAAAGAGCACUGUGUUUAUUGCCAUACCUUUUGUAUUGUUUCUCUUUUUUGCCUAGAAAAAGUUAAUAUUAUUUCAUAAGAAAGAAGAAACACUGUAAAUUUACAAUACACCUAGUUUAGCUCAAACAAUGUAAACAAUAUACAAUUAAAGUUCAUAUAAUAAUCAACCAAAUAAAUCCAUGUACUAGCAUAGCCUCAAACAUCAUCCACACACCAUUGCCUUCCAGCCAUAUCUCUAUUUAUUUUACCUCAAUUGUCAAUUUAAUAGUGUAUCAGGUUUUCUUAUAUUUUUUUCUCAUCACAUAAUUUUUACCAAAUUUUCUUACAUUUUCUAAUCAACCAAACACCAAAAACAUAUAUAUAUAUAUCGAUUGCUUCCUUGUACAAAGUUUCUACCAUUUUAUCAUCUUCAAGCUUUCAGUCUUCUUCUUUCUUCACCCGAUUCUUUCCUUGUACAAUGACGUGGAAAACUCAAAAAGAUCUUUAAUUAAAGAGAAUGAAUAAAAAAAGAAAAAGAAAAGACAAAGAAAAAUCUUCACUUUCAUACAAUGAUAAAAAGAUUCCUAAAUCACAAAUAAUAAUAAUAAUAAUAAUAAAGCACUUUUUGAAAAAUGAAAAAGUAAUUGACAUCAGAUUGUAGAUUUGUUCAAUUGAAAUUUUUUAGCUCGUUUUCUUUUACUCUCUCUUUUCUUUGCUUAAGCGCCAAAAGCAUUGUUGUUUCUUUGAAUCGACAGUUUGUUGUCUUAAAUUGAUUCUGUUGGACAAAACACGUUAAUGAACAAAAUAUUUAAAUAUAAAUAAACACAGAUUUAUAUAUAAUAUAAAAUAUAAAUAGAAUAAUUUAUAUUUAAGUUGUCAAAAACGUAAAUCAAUAAAAACCGUAACAAUAGUUAAAAUUGAAAAUAAGAAUAGAGAUUUACUAAACGUUGAGGCCUGUUUAACACAGUCUCCUUAAGGCAGAUUCGACCGCUCCCUUUUUCUAUCACUAGAACAUUUAAGAUAAAUGUCCUUAUAUAAACAGAUUCUUAGUGCUGAGGAAAAAUAAUUUUGUGUUGGGCUAAAAUAACCACAAGCCUAAUUUGGACCUACAAACCUCCUUCGCACAAGGUAGAAUUUCAAGUUUAGUCAUUCAAUUACUUUUCAAGAAGACCCAUAUAUAAACACAUCUCAUACUUGGUAUUUAACCAAUGUGGAAUCUAAGCCUUUAUUUUUCCUUAACAAAUAUUUUCAAGUAGCUUAUUUUGAGCAUCAAUUUCUAAUCCAUCACUCAACCAUUUUGAGCAUAUGAUAUACCGUUGUAAAGGUCUCAUGGAGUAGAAUAUGAAACCAUAAUUUUAUGAUUCAACUCUCCGCCUUUACCUAUUGAGAAUAUGCCUCAACGUUCCCAUAAAAUGUAAUUUUUCCAACAUAUUCUUUGUUUAUUUGAAUCGAUUCUUUGUUUGAAUCGAUUGACUCGAUUCUUUUUGUUGUUUGAAUCAAUUCAUUAUUGCUUAAAUUGAUUCUUUGUUGUUUAACCCAAUUCAAAAGCCAACAUUUUUUGGCUCGUUUUUUUCUCUCUUUUCUUUGCUUGAGCACCAAAAGUGUUGAUGUUUCUUUUGAAUCGAUUAUUUGUUAUCUUAAAUUGAGUCUUUGCUUAUUUGAAUCGUUCAUUUUGUUGAUUGACUCAAUUCUUUUUGUUGUUUGAAUCAAUUCAUUAUUGCUUAAAUCAAUUCUUUGUUGUUUAACUCGAUUCAAACGCUAACACCACUUUAGUAUCUGGCCGUUUAAUUCUAUUAAUGUUUCAAUAACAAAGAACACUUAAAAAAUGGAAACGCCCCAAAACAAAAGGUGAAGAAAGAAGAAGACAGGAAGCUUGAAGAUGAUAAAUUGUGGAAACUUUGUACAAUGAAGCAAUCGGUAAGAAAAUUGUAUAAAAAUUGUUUAAUGAGAAGAAAAUAUAAGAAAAUCUGGCAAAAUCAACACUACUAUAUUGACGGGAUAAAAUAAAUAGAUAGCUACGUGGCAAGUUGUGAUUUUGGCUGAAAAAAAUUCUAAUGGGUCUAACAGUUGAGGUAAAAUGGAUAACAGCUUAAUAGUUUAGGUACCAAUUUUAACCCAAAAAAGAUUUUAAGUACCAAUUUGGGAAAACUAGUAUAGUUUAGAUACCAUUUUGUUGUUUAAGCCUAAGAAAAAUGUUUUUAAAAAGUGUUCUUUGUUAAUUUUUUGUGUUCUCCAUUACUGUGAAAAUUUGUGGUUGAAGGUCAAAAUAUCUUUUUUAGACAUGAUAAUGGAAAAUUAGAAAUUAGUCAUGUUAUAUGAUUUUUAAAUAAUUUAAUAUAAUGGUAUAUAAAGUAUAAAUUUUAAAUAUCUUUUAAGUAAUUAAUAUAAAUUAUUUAUAAAAUGAAUGAUACAUAGAAUAUUUCAAAAACUUAAAUAUAAUAAUAUAUUAUAUUUAAAAAUAAUUUAAUAUAAUGAUAUAUAAAAUAUAAUUUAAUUUAAUUUUUUUAUACUUUUAAAAUAUAAAUAAGCAUAUAUUGUUGUUGUUGAUUGAAUUAAAAAAAAAAAUUCAUAGUAUAGGAAGAUCAUCUUCAUCAUUAGAUUUUGUUCUUUCCCUGUUUUCUUUCUUUAUUAUAUUUCUUAGUAAAUUUCUAAUUUUUUUUCAUUUCUUUAAUGAGUAAAAUCAUUCAAUUUUCAUUAAAAAUUCCAUUUUUUAUACUCUCUUUUUUUAUUAUCUCAAUACAUAAAGACAGCACUUCUGUUUUUUUUAAUAAAAUAUUUCAGUUCAACAUUAUUUGUUUAAUAAAUUUAUAUACUAAUUACAUUAUGUUGAUAUUAUGUUAUAUUUUUAUAUCCUAUCAUAUUUUUAAAUUGUGUACCUAAAAUUAGCCUCUUAUACAUAUUGAUAUUAUUGAGGGACAAUCUACACACUAACACUACUAAACUACCAUAAAGUGCUAGCCGUCCCCUUUUUUGGGAUUGGGUGUGAACCCUUGGCCAAUCAAAGCAGGGUUAUACUGAGAAGCUAAUGUUGUAGGGUACUGGGGUGGGACCAUUACCCUGUUCCUUUCAAGCAGUUCACGCUGUUAAUGUUUAUCUCCAGGAGACUUCCACGGUUUCGCACACUGAUCUUAUGAUAUAUAUGUAUAUAAGGGAAUGCAAAUGUACUGAGUGUUCCUCACCCUUCACUCAACUGCUCCAUUGAAUUUGUUUUCUUUCUGUGUUUUCCACACAGAAGAAGCAAAACAAAGGAAGAAUACAAAAUUGGGUACAAUGUUGAAAGAGUUACCUUCUUUGUCUACUAUUCUCUCCGCUUAUGCUUCUAUUUCAGCCAUGGCUAUGUUAAUCCGAACCAUCUUAAAUGAAAUGCUCCCUGAAAGGAUGACAAACUACAUCUUCUCUAUGAUUUACGACUUUACUUCUGCUUACUUCUCAUCCGACUUUACCUUCAUAAUCGAAAACCGAUGGCACGCUGGCGAUAACCAAUUGUUUCGAGCUGCGGAGAUCUACUUGCCCACCAUAAUUGGACCCUCCAGCGAUAGCCUUCUCGUAGGUUUCGAUGAGUCCAGUGAUCCCACCACACCACCAAAACGUAGCAUCCCUGUUGAUUGCAGGAUCAAGGAUGAUUUUGAUGGCAUGCGCUUGGAAUGGACUUUAUCUUCUAUUGAACCCAAAAAGUACUACGUCCCUACUAAGAGAUUCUUCAGCUUGACCUGCAACAAAAGGGAUAGAGAAAGAGUUGAGCAAAGGUACUUUCCUUAUAUUAACAGAACUGCACAAGAAAUUCUGAACAAGAGUGACAGCCUCAGCAUUUACACUUAUGAUCAAGAAUGUUCUAUGUGGGAGCCGACCGCUUUCAAGCACCCGUCAACAUUUGAGACCUUGGCAAUGGAGCCCCAGCUUAAGGAAUUCAUAAUGAAGGAUCUUGAUUCAUUCAUGGAACGCAAGGAGUUCUUCGAGAACGUUGGCAGGGCUUGGAAACGAGGGUACCUUUUGUAUGGUCCACCUGGGACAGGAAAAUCAUCACUGAUUGCUGCAGUUGCGAAUUACAUGAGAUACAAUGUAUAUGAUCUUCAGUUUCAAGGCGUUAGAAACGAUUACGAUCUCAGACGCAUACUCACAUCCACCACAAACCGCUCCAUUCUUCUCAUCGAAGACAUAGAUUGCAUCACAACAGCAUCACAUGAUCGAACCAAGGUCAUUGAAAAAUGUGAAGCAGAAGAAGAUGAAGAUGAGAACAAACGUCCCUUCUCUAUCAACUAUCGGGUAAUUCAUUUGUUUCUCUCCUUAUCUUGGUUUGAUUGACGUUGAAACAAGUUUCUGAAGUCACUAAGUUAACAUAAUUUUGUAGGUAACACUAUCAGGCUUACUCAACUUCAUUGAUGGAUUGUGGUCGAGCUGUGGGAAUGAAAGAAUCAUAAUCAUUACCACAAAUCAUAAAGAAGAGUUGGAUCCAGCGCUGCUACGGCCGGGGCGAAUGGAUGUGCAUAUUUACAUGGGAUAUUGUAGUCCAGCAGGAUUCAGAAAACUUGCAGCUUCAUAUCUUGGGAUCAAAGAUGACAAACUGCUGAAGUGGCACAACAACUGAUGAUCAGUGAUGAACCCAAAGUUGCACUCCAAGGUCUCAUCGAAUUUCUUAACAGCAAGAAGGGUAUAGAGGAAGCUGCAGUUGAAGAGAAGACAAAAUUCAAUGCUUGCUGGGUCUGAGACACUGAAAUAUUUUUGACUUAAUUUACUUAUCUGGCUUAAAAGCGGGUAAACUUGUGGCAUUUACAAAAGAGUUUGACUCCAUAUCAUCAAAAGAGUGUGCUUCAUGACAAUCUUCAUGGUUGAAUUUCUUUCCUAAAUCAAUUUAGGAUCCUGGUGCAUUGAUGAUAUUGACAUUUUAAAUAUGAAGGGGGAAAUAACAUCAACGCAAAAUUCUUCCAGGUGUCCAAACAUUUCCCCCCUGAAUCUAACAGCUAUUUUCCCCUCCUAUACCAAUUUUUGCAGCAACCCAAUGCUUUAACUAAAAAGGAAGUUAUCAUAUAUACGUGGGCCCAAUCUGGGGCUAGCUUCUUUUUUUAUUACCAUAAAAUUCUCAGCAUCAAGAAAAGGAAAAGUCAGGUUGGGUUAACCUUCCAAACCUAAGCCCACUAAUCACAAUGUCUCCCCAAAAUCAUUCCUUCCCUAAUUGUUACUCAUCUAAACCUCUUUCAUGGUUUUAGGAAUGGUCUAAUUAUGAAUUUUUAAAAUUUAGUCUUUUUCCAAGCAACUAAUUUCUUUCAGAAUCUUUUUUCUACCAAUCCAUUACAAAAUUGUGAAAGGCUCAGAAGUGAAAUCCAGCCGUGUAUAUCAAAAUCUCUAAAUGAAAAACUUAUAAGAGAUUUCAAGGAAGAUGAGGUAGUGGAAGCUUUAAAAGGCAUGGCAACUCUCAAAGCAUCUGGAAUAGACAGAUACCCAGCAUUUUUCUACCAAAAAUUAUGGCAUAUAAUAGGAAAAGACGUUACUCAUUAUUGCCUUCAAGUUCUAAAUAAUGGGAUGGAUUUCGAGGAAGUUAAUAAAACCAAUAUCGUGCUUAUCCCAAAGGUACAAACCCCUACGAAUUUGGGACAAUUUAGGCCCAUAAGCCUUUGCAAUGUCAUAUACAAGUUGAUCUCAAAAAUGGUUGUUAAUAGAUUUCAAAGGGUACUAUACUUAUGUAUAGAGGAAGCACAAAGUGCCUUUGUCCCAGGUAGACAAAUUACUAGCAACAUAAUGAUUGCUUAUGAAUUACUACACUCUUUCAAAAAAAAGAAAAGAGGUGGCACAGAGUAUUUUGCUUUAAAACUGGAUAUGAGCAAAGCAUAUGAUAGAGUGGAAUAGAAUUUUGUUGAAAAUAUGAUGAAGAUGCUAGGUUUUUGCAAUAGGUGGAUUGAGCUCAUAAUAAAAUGCGUACGAACAGUGUCUUACUCAGUAGUAAUUAAUGGGAAUCGAUGGGCAGAAUUUAAACCAACAUAGGGACUUAGACAAGGAGAUCCAUUAAGCCCGUAUUUACUUAUCAUAUGUGCAAAUGGAUUCUCUAAGCUUCUGAACAAGGCUAAAAGAGAGAUUUUUUGAAGGGGUCAAAGUGGGAAGAGGAGAGCUUGCUAUCACUCAUUUAUUCUUCGUCGAUGAUAGCAUCUUAUUUGGGAAGGCAACAUUGAAUAACGCAAUAACAAUGAAGGCAAUAGUCAAUGAAUAUGAAAGUUUAUCCAGACAACUAGUGAAUUUCGAGAAGUCUUUGAUCUAUUUCAACAAGAAUGUUCAAGACGAUUUAAAAGGGCAGAUAGAGGGAAUUUGGGGUGUUUGGAUUUCAAUCAAUCCAAAAAAAUAUCUGGGGUUACCUACAAUGAUUGGGCGGAGAAAGAAAGGUGCGUUUUUAGAAUUAAAAGAAAGAUUCAUCCAAAAAUCAAAAAAUUGGAGCAUUCGCAACUUGUCUUUUGGAGGUAAAGAAAUUUUUAUCAAAUCCAUUUUACAAGCACUUCUGAUUUAUGCUAUGCAGUGUUUUAAGUUACCAGUUUUAUUUUGCAAAGAAUUAGAAAAUCUGAUGAGUACAUUCUGGUGACGCAAUUUAAAAACAAAUAAAGGCAUCCACUAGUGCAGUUGGGUAGCAAUGUGUAGUCCAAAAGAAUUAGAGGGUAUAGGGUUUAAGGAUUUAACAAUGUUUAAUACGGCUCUGUUGGCUAAAAAGAGAUGGAGACUAAUCACCCAACCUGAUUGUUUGUUUGCGCGAAUUAUGAAAUCAAAAUAUUAUCCACGUGAUAAUUUUUUACAUGCAAGGUUAGAAGCUUACCCCAUCCUUUACCUGGAACAGCAUUUGGAAUGCACGAAGUUUGCUUGAGGAAGGAACAGGAUGGAGGAUAGGGAAUGGCGAAUCAACAAAUAUUUGGAAUGAUACUUGGCUACCCACACCUGAUGAUGGAAGAGUAAAAGUUCAAAAUAUUAAUAUCAGCUAUUCAAAAGUAGCAGAUCUUAUUAAUACAAAUUCAUUCACAUGGAACUUACUCGAAGUAGAGCAAGCAGAGGCAAUAUUGUCAAUUCCCUUGGUGAAUAGGAUACAACCGUAUGUUCUAGUCUGAAGAGGGGACAAAUUAGGCGAAUACAUAGUACAAAGUGGUUACAAAUGGCUAAUAUCUAAGAAUCUACACCUACAGAAUUAUAUUACAGACCAAACUAUCACUAAAGAAUUUUAUUCAAAGAUCUGGAAUCUCCCGAUCCCAAGUAAAAUAAGAAUACAUCUGUGGAGGGUGGUGAGUAAUUUUAUUCCAACACUCAGUAUUCUCAAAUCUCAAAAACUCAGGAACGAUGAUGAAUGUCUAGUUUGUUCAUUUGGAGAAGAAAUAGUGGAAUACAUUUUUCGAGAUUGUGGAUUCACAAAACAGAUUCUACAAGAAGUUGGGAUGGACACCUCGCCAUCAAACACAAGACAAGUAUGGAAACAAUGGUUAGCAAGUUUCUUCCAAAUGAAUAACACUAAAACAUGCAUAGUCAUGGCAAUAACUAUUUGGGCAUUAUGGUACAAUAGAAAUAUAAUUUAUCACGAAGAUAAGAAGAAAAGGGUAUAAGAGGUUUCCAGUUUUAUUUUAGCUUAUUUUAAGGAAUUAGAGCAAGUUCAAUCAUUAAUAGAAACUAGAAUCAUUCCGAGAGAGAUGUUUUGGAGACCCCCCAUGGAAGGACAAAUCAAGGCCAAUUUUGAUGCUGCAUAUUCACAACAAAACUCGAUAGCAAUUGCGGGGGUUAUCUUAGGAAAUCAUGAAGGCUUUGUUAUGGGAGCAUGCUCUUACCCUUUAGGAAAGACAGGGGAUCCGACUACUGCAGAAGCAAAGGCGUAUCUACAGGCAAUCAUCUUUGAGGAAGAAAUGGGCUUUCGAGAUCUAGUGGUUGAAGGUGAUGGUCUAACUGUUAUUAAAAAGUUGAAAUUAGAUACAGAGGAUAUAUCGGUGAUUGGAAACAUUAUUAAAGAAAUCUAGAGGAAAAGAGCAAGCUGUUUUACCAUAAUUUUUGAGCAUACACCCCGAAAGACACCCCGAAAGACAAACGAAACAGCACAUGCCCUUGGUAGUCGAGGCUAUAAUCUAGAUAACCCAUACUAUUGGGUAGAAGAGGUACCGCCGGAGAUUGAGUACAUCAUCGCCAACGACCAGAGAAGAAGAUAGAAUUGGUUGAAAAGGACAUUUUUUACUGAGUCCGAGGAUAUAACACAAAUACGCCUAUACUUAAACGAUCUCUGAAGAAACUCAGUAGAAGGAGAUUACUAGUAAAAAGCUUCAAUUGAAGAUCUUUGCAGCAAAGAAAAGGCAAAAUCAGUUUACUCUACCAACACUUAUAGAAUGCAAAGAAGAGGAAAUGGGACUAUGAUUGAAGAGAGGAUUUAGGUUUUCAAGUUUAUUUUUGCUUUUGCUUUGUUUUAGGGCAGUUUCAUUGACGUUUCAUUCAUCUUUCAGGCUUUUAUUUAGUAAGCAUAACCGAGGCACCGCCUCAGCUACAAACAAUAGUAUGACAGCUGCUUGACAGCUA